GUACGCUUCUUUUUCCCCGGAGCUUGCUCCACCGGAAAAAGAAGAGUGGCGAACGGGUGAGUAACACGUGGGUAACCUGCCCAUCAGAAGGGGAUAACACUUGGAAACAGGUGCUAAUACCGUAUAACAAUCGAAACCGCAUGGUUUUGAUUUGAAAGGCGCUUUCGGGUGUCGCUGAUGGAUGGACCCGCGGUGCAUUAGCUAGUUGGUGAGGUAACGGCUCACCAAGGCCACGAUGCAUAGCCGACCUGAGAGGGUGAUCGGCCACAUUGGGACUGAGACACGGCCCAAACUCCUACGGGAGGCAGCAGUAGGGAAUCUUCGGCAAUGGACGAAAGUCUGACCGAGCAACGCCGCGUGAGUGAAGAAGGUUUUCGGAUCGUAAAACUCUGUUGUUAGAGAAGAACAAGGAUGAGAGUAACUGUUCAUCCCUUGACGGUAUCUAACCAGAAAGCCACGGCUAACUACGUGCCAGCAGCCGCGGUAAUACGUAGGUGGCAAGCGUUGUCCGGAUUUAUUGGGCGUAAAGCGAGCGCAGGCGGUUUCUUAAGUCUGAUGUGAAAGCCCCCGGCUCAACCGGGGAGGGUCAUUGGAAACUGGGAGACUUGAGUGCAGAAGAGGAGAGUGGAAUUCCAUGUGUAGCGGUGAAAUGCGUAGAUAUAUGGAGGAACACCAGUGGCGAAGGCGGCUCUCUGGUCUGUAACUGACGCUGAGGCUCGAAAGCGUGGGGAGCAAACAGGAUUAGAUACCCUGGUAGUCCACGCCGUAAACGAUGAGUGCUAAGUGUUGGAGGGUUUCCGCCCUUCAGUGCUGCAGCUAACGCAUUAAGCACUCCGCCUGGGGAGUACGACCGCAAGGUUGAAACUCAAAGGAAUUGACGGGGGCCCGCACAAGCGGUGGAGCAUGUGGUUUAAUUCGAAGCAACGCGAAGAACCUUACCAGGUCUUGACAUCCUUUGACCACUCUAGAGAUAGAGCUUCCCCUUCGGGGGCAAAGUGACAGGUGGUGCAUGGUUGUCGUCAGCUCGUGUCGUGAGAUGUUGGGUUAAGUCCCGCAACGAGCGCAACCCUUAUUGUUAGUUGCCAUCAUUUAGUUGGGCACUCUAGCAAGACUGCCGGUGACAAACCGGAGGAAGGUGGGGAUGACGUCAAAUCAUCAUGCCCCUUAUGACCUGGGCUACACACGUGCUACAAUGGGAAGUACAACGAGUCGCGAAGUCGCGAGGCUAAGCUAAUCUCUUAAAGCUUCUCUCAGUUCGGAUUGUAGGCUGCAACUCGCCUACAUGAAGCCGGAAUCGCUAGUAAUCGCGGAUCAGCACGCCGCGGUGAAUACGUUCCCGGGCCUUGUACACACCGCCCGUCACACCACGAGAGUUUGUAACACCCGAAGUCGGUGAG
Molecule: ribosomal RNA, 1397 nt
Filed under: Enterococcus durans
Lineage: Bacteria; Bacillati; Bacillota; Bacilli; Lactobacillales; Enterococcaceae
Description: bacterial SSU rRNA
Rfam family: Bacterial small subunit ribosomal RNA
Source: RNAcentral